This is a long non-coding RNA of Talpa occidentalis (Iberian mole), 752 nucleotides long. RefSeq lists it as uncharacterized. The transcript has 4 exons. Lineage: Eukaryota; Metazoa; Chordata; Mammalia; Eulipotyphla; Talpidae. The record is from RefSeq and is a predicted model, not a curated record.
CACUGCUUUUCCUUGGGCCAGGUAUAGUUCCCAUAGAAUUUCCUUCACCAAUGCACCUGCCGCAGAUCAGUUUAGUCAAUGAAAAAAAGCAAGGAAAGAAGCAAGUGGCAGCAGACUAGCCCCCUGCUCAAGGACGAUGACCUCUAUCUCCUCAAAGACAGAGAGGUUUAAAGAAGAGACAUAGUCUCCCCCAGUUCCAUCUGUCCGGAGCCGCCUGGAGCAUGCGCCGUGUUGCACAACACACGUGCCAUUAAUUAGUUUUCGCUUUACCGUUUUGCCUGCUGAGAAACCACAGGUGUUUCCUAUUAAUCAAAUGAGACUGGGAGGUACGAUGGGAGGAGCUACCAGGAUAUAAGAAGAGAACCACGAGAAGGUCAGGAGGUUAUUGCGAGAGGUUAUUGCGAGAGAGGUUAUUGCGAGAGAGGUUAUUGCGAGAGGAGCAGAGAGAAGGUCAGGGAAGGUAGAAAGACAGGGAAAAGUAAAAGAAAGGUAAAAGAAAAAUAAAGAAGUAAACGCUAGCGUCAAGUUGUCAAGCCCCUCAUUUCAAUCCUCAGCCCUUCUCUUUUCGUGCCUACGAAUCCCGCGGGUCGGGACAUCCAUCCAUAUUGUUACACAUGGCAAGAGUUCAUCUUUCUUUACAGCUGAAUAAUAUUCCGCUGCACAUAUAUACCUUAUCUUCUUAAUCCCCUCAUUUGUCCUUGGGCACAUGGGUUAUCUCCAUAACUUGGCAAUUGUAAAUAGUGCUGCAGUGA